RNAcentral lists this ribosomal RNA (506 nucleotides) under Acrobeloides cf. buetschlii SLISO201345. RNAcentral describes it as "SSU rRNA". It matches the Rfam family "Eukaryotic small subunit ribosomal RNA", at positions 88 to 590 of the family's 1831-position model. The record is from RNAcentral. Lineage: Eukaryota; Metazoa; Nematoda; Chromadorea; Rhabditida; Cephalobidae.
CGCGAAUGGCUCAUUAUUAACAGCUAAAAUUUACUCGAUCUUGACACAAUCCUACUUGGAUAACUGUGGUAAUUCUAGAGCUAAUACAUGCACUAAAGCUCUGACCUUCGGGGAAGAGUGCAUUUAUUAGAACAAAACCAAGCGGCUUCGGCUGUUUUUGGUUGACUCAUAGUAACUGAGCUGAUCGCAUGGUCUUGCACCGGCGACGUGUCGUUCAAGUAUCUGCCGUAUCAACUUUCGAUGGUAGUGUAUCUGACUACCAUGGUGAUCACGCGUAACGGAGAAUAAGGGUUCGACUCCGGAGAGUUCGCCUGAGAAAUCGCGAACACAUCUAAGGAAGGCAGCAGGCGCGAAAUUUACCCACUCUCAGCACGAGGAGGUAGGGACGAAAAAUAACGAGACCGUUCUCUUAUGAGGCCGGUCAUCGGAAUGGGUACAAUCUAAACCCUUUAACGAGUAUCUAUGAGAGGGCAAGUCUGGUGCCAGCAGCCGCGGUAAUUCCAGCU